GAGGCUUUCUUAUCUCACCUCCACACAUCUGUUCUCCUGUGUGAAACUGUUUAAGUCACACGGCACCGUCUGGCAGUCGCCAUGCGCGCACGUGCUGAGCCCAGACAGCCAUCCCUCCGCUGUCCUCUCCCAAGGCUGCAUAAACUGCGUUUCACCUCCACUGCAGAGGGCAGAGGCGAAGGCCACAGUGGGCCACAGAAACUGGUGCUCUGAACCAGCAGGUGGGCGCCCCUCCCGCUAGGCCCGGGGUGGGGGUCCCAACCCCAGAGCCAGUUGUACGGACUUUUAACAAAUCAGCUAGUUAAAAACUGGCUUUUGUGUGUUACCAGGAAAAGGGUUAGGGGUAGGAUUAGGACAAGUUGAGACCUAUUCCGUUGAUUAGGUUAUAUAAAGGAGGUAUCUUGAAUUCCGGGAAGUUCUUCCUUGAUUUACAUUUCCUGUCUAGACAUAAUUUGUACUUUUGGUUCUGAUACCCACUACUCCUGGUUUGUCUCCUUACAGUUGCUUCUUGGGUGACUCACCCAAAACCAGGGGAAGUAUGUCAGCAAACUGAGAGCAGCAAAGAUGGUCAUCAUUAAUUCUGAAUUGUUCCAGGGAUUACCUCGGGGAGGUUCACCAAGAUUUCGCUAAGGACAGAACUUGAGCCUCGGCACACCAGUGUGAACCUAUUCCCAACAAUGGAGUUGGCUGGAGACUCUGGAAAUCCAGGCUUUGCACUGUGAUCUGCCUUAUGAAGACUCUGAAUGCUGUGGUCUCAUCAGGAUGCAGGAGAUGGGCCAGCACUUAACAGAGAGGAGUCUGCUCUGUCUCUAGUCAGCACUUUCCUUGGUUACAGUUAAGAAAUGGGUGAGACUGAUUUGUAGAAUUUAUUCCAGUGAAAAUGCUAGCAUUAGUUUUGGAGCAAGCAGGAGUUUUGAAGAGAACCAUGUUCUUCCCUGGCAGGGCCAAAGCAUCAGUGAUGCUUCUGUAAUGAAGCAGCUGGAGUGAGACUCCAGAUCUCAGGCUGAGAAGCCCUAACAAGUUUUUUCUACUUGCCCCAAACCUUCAGGAGCACAUUGGCUUGCCACAGCCCAGCUUCAUUGGGAUCCUCAGCUCCACAUGCCUCCCUCAGCGUGAUUCCAGCACUGCCUACCUUGAGGGGAUGCAGAGGGAUCCCCACACAGGAGUGUGGCAUUUCACUGCCCCUGGCUGCUUUAGAAAGAGGUAUCAAGUCAGGCGUGGAGCCAAGUGCCUGUGAUCCCAGCACUCUGGGAGGCUGAGGCAGGACAAGUUCCAGUCCAGCCUGGGAAACUUGAGUCACUUAGCAAGACCUAAUUCUAAAAAAGGGGGGAGGGGGCUGGAGAUGUAGCUUAGUGGGAAGGCCCGCCGGGUGCAACAUUCACUAGGAAGGGAAAAAAAAAUGUGGUGUCAGGCAGCAAGUACAGAGCCUCACAGGCAGGUGGGGCUGCUCAGCUCCCCCACGUGGUGCAAGCCCUGGUCUGCUCAGGUGGCUUCCAGGAAGGACCCUGAUGUGCGAAGCACCAGUGUGUGCUCUGUGGGGCAGUGGCUCCUGGAGGGAGGGCACUGGCAGCAACAGAGCUCCAAACUCUGGUGCAUGAAAUACAAAGAAAACAGCAGCACUGGUGACAACACAUUUAUUUAUGUACCCUGUUGUGUAACUGGGAGGUGCUUUUCAUUUUCCAAUCGAUCAGUCAAAACAAUUAAAUUCCAGAAGGUAAACUAGUGUUUUAUUGUUGCUCAUAAGCACAGGUAAACAAACGGCAGCACAGCAAGGAAUGCUAGACACGUCUCAACUUUUGGUGGUUUAGGUAUGGUCCGCCAGGCUUUGGCAACAUAUCUGAUACAGAGGUUACUGCUAAGAUUCCAAACCUCAUGGUUUCCUUCAGACACAACAGGAAAACUUUGGACGUAACUUCUGAAUUUCAGAAAUUGAACCAAGAUUCUUGGAAAGUUGCAAGAGGC
RNAcentral lists this long non-coding RNA (1962 nucleotides) under Heterocephalus glaber (naked mole-rat). RNAcentral describes it as "lncRNA (ENSHGLG00100035728.1)". The record is from RNAcentral. Lineage: Eukaryota; Metazoa; Chordata; Mammalia; Rodentia; Bathyergidae.